This 248-nucleotide small nuclear RNA is filed under the name Propithecus coquereli (Coquerel's sifaka). RNAcentral's name for it is "7SK RNA (ENSPCOG00000010659.1)". It matches the Rfam family "7SK RNA". From Rfam's summary of the family: 7SK was discovered as an abundant small nuclear RNA in the mid-70s but a possible function has only recently been suggested. Two independent studies have found that 7SK RNA binds the CDK9/cyclin T complex (known as elongation factor P-TEFb). P-TEFb activates transcription by phosphorylating the C-terminal domain of RNA polymerase II. Lineage: Eukaryota; Metazoa; Chordata; Mammalia; Primates; Indriidae. The record is from Rfam by way of RNAcentral.
AGAGUGGCCUGUCUGUGAUGUGACCAUCUUGUUGCUCCUGAGGUUGGGUUUGGCUGAUCUGGCUGGCUGGUGUCUCUUCCCUCCUUACACCUCAAUGCGCAUCCCUCCCACAUCUGGGCUCAGGGAGUGAGGGUGACCUCCUUGCCCAGGGGAGUACCGUCAUUUGGUCAAAGGUCUGCAGGAGGCUGUGCUUCUCUGUUUAAGACUCAGCGAAAGUAGAGAAAUCCCGAAGUGGGGAGCCACUCUUG